AGGAUAGUAGUUUAAAGAACUUUUAAUUUGCAUUUAAAAAGUAUUGUAAUACACAAUUUAUCUUA
RNAcentral lists this transfer RNA (65 nucleotides) under Aegorhinus superciliosus. RNAcentral describes it as "tRNA-Ala". The record is from RNAcentral. Lineage: Eukaryota; Metazoa; Arthropoda; Insecta; Coleoptera; Curculionidae.